AAUUCGAUUGAGUUUGAUCAUGGCUCAGGAUAAACGCUGGCGGGGUGCCUAAAACAUGCAAGUCGUACGGGCACCUUCGGGUGUCAGUGGCGGACGGCUGAGUAACACGUGGGCGACCUACCUCCGAGCGGGGGAUAACUGCCCGAAAGGGUGGCUAAUACCGCAGACAUCGGCGAUUCGGUUCGUCGAUUAAACGCGCAAGCGGCUUGGAGAGGGGCCCGCGGCCGAUUAGCUUGUUGGUGGGGUAACGGCUUACCAAGGCGUCGAUCGGUAGCUGGUCUAAGAGGAUGAUCAGCCAGACUGGGACUGCGACACGGCCCAGACUCCUACGGGAGGCAGCAGUUAGGAAUUUUGGGCAAUGGGGGAAACCCUGACCCAGCAACGCUGCGUGGGUGAUGAAGGCCUUCGGGUCGUAAAGCCCUUUUCCAGGGGAAGAUAAUGACGGUACCCUGGGAAUAAGCCCCGGCUAACUACGUGCCAGCAGCCGCGGUAAUACGUAGGGGGCGAGCGUUGUCCGGAUUUAUUGGGCGUAAAGGGCUCGCAGGCGGCUGGCCAAGUCGUGCGUGAAAUCUCUCGGCUCAACUGAGAGCGGUCGUGCGAUACUGGUCAGCUUGAGGCCGGUAGGGGGAAGCGGAAUUCCGGGUGUAGUGGUGGAAUGCGUAGAUAUCCGGAGGAACACCAGUGGCGAAGGCGGCUUCCUGGACCGGUCCUGACGCUCAGGAGCGAAAGCGUGGGUAGCGAUCCGGAUUAGA
Molecule: ribosomal RNA, 752 nt
Filed under: uncultured bacterium
Lineage: Bacteria
Description: bacterial SSU rRNA
Rfam family: Bacterial small subunit ribosomal RNA
Source: RNAcentral